AAAUGAUUUCAUGUAAAGGCUUACUCUAACUCAUGACAAAGCUUGAAGUUGACAACUUUAAGAAGAAAAAUAAAUAAAAAUGCCUUCAUGCAUCUCUAUGCCUUCAUAUUUGUCAAGUAAAUAGCAUCAGCUGUGGGAUUCAGGCUGCUCAUACAUUGCGAGACAUUCUUUAGGGCGGUAGGACCCUCCAUAUACUGUACAUCAUGCAUG
This is a non-coding RNA of Pelobates cultripes (western spadefoot toad), 210 nucleotides long. The record is from the annotation of a GenBank genome assembly. Lineage: Eukaryota; Metazoa; Chordata; Amphibia; Anura; Pelobatidae.